RNAcentral lists this ribosomal RNA (196 nucleotides) under uncultured bacterium. RNAcentral describes it as "partial 16S ribosomal RNA". It matches the Rfam family "Bacterial small subunit ribosomal RNA", at positions 328 to 539 of the family's 1533-position model. The record is from RNAcentral.
ACGCUCGACACCUACGGAGGCAGCAGUGGGGAAUAUUGCACAAUGGGGGAAACCCUGAUGCAGCGACGCCGCGUGAGUGAAGAAGUAUUUCGGUAUGUAAAGCUCUAUCAGCAGGGAAGAAAAUGACGGUACCUGAGUAAGAAGCCCCGGCUAACUACGUGCCGNAGCCGCGGUAAUCUGAGCGGGCUGGCAAGGC